This 355-nucleotide ribosomal RNA is filed under the name Panulirus cygnus (western rock lobster). RNAcentral's name for it is "partial 12S ribosomal RNA". The record is from RNAcentral. Lineage: Eukaryota; Metazoa; Arthropoda; Malacostraca; Decapoda; Palinuridae.
UAAUUUGUUUGAAAUUCAAAGAACCUGGCGGUACUUUAGUCUAGUUAGAGGAACCUGUUAUAUAAACGAUAAACCACGUAGAAUCUUUCUUGCUCUUGUGUAGCCAGUAUACCUUCAUUGUUAGAUAAUUUUAUAUAUGAAUUAUUGAAAUCGACAAAAUCAAGUAUAUUAGAUCAAGGUGCUGCUAAUGAGCAAGUAUAAAUGGGUUACAAUAUUUUAAAAGAGGCUGAUUAUAGUGAGAAUUCACUAUGUGAGGAUGGAUUUAAUUGUAAGUUUAAAUUUAGUAAGGUAAAGUGAUAAUAGCUCUAAAGUGUGUACAUAUUGCCCGUCGCUUUCAUUAAAUCAGAUGAGAUAA